GCCAUACUCCUCCGAAACGGCUUGACCGAUUUUUAUGAAAUUUUUUGUGCUUAUCCGGUAUCUAUGAGAAUCGGCCAACAUCUAUUUUUCAUCCCCCUAAAUGUUAGGGGUAGUCCACCACUAAAUUUUUUUUUUUAAUUUUUAGACAAAAUUUUUAAUUUCUAUUUUUUUAUGAUACAACAUACAAAAAUACAUACAAUCCUCAAUUUUCACUCUUCUACGAUCAACCCUUAUUUUUUAAUAGCCAUUUUAGUAAUUUAAUCAUUUUUCCUCUCCGGUCGAAAACUGAUCAAUCGUCAUUUAAUUAGUUAUCCCCGCCAGAUGUCUACAGGUGUCACUUCUGACCCAGUAAACAGCAUGGAGUAUGGAUGAGAACGAAGCCGGUCUCCUUUCUUUCUUAAUCCCUACACAGUUGUCAGCCAUCAUUAUUGUUUAUGUAUCAAGUGUAGUAGUAACGUUGACAAUUAUUAUUUUGCUAUCUCAGUGUAACUCUCAUAUUAACUUUUAAUCAUUCCUAUUUUAUCAAUAAUAAUUAAAUUAUCAAUUUUGAGUGUAUUUUGCACGAUUAGUUAAUCAAGUGAUUUUAUAACCUCAAAAGUACUCAACAUGUGACACGAGCUUCCAAUAACAACGGAUUUUGUGUUUGAGCAAUGCCAAGAAAACGCAAAGGGGCUGAUUUGAGCCGCAGUACAAGUAAAGCUCGAAACUUGCGAAAUAGCAGAUCCGAAAGAACAGAAGAACAAAUCCAGCAACAAAAUACUGAUGCACGUGUUAGAAUGGCGCAAUUGCAUCAAGAAGAGCUAGAAGAUACACGAGCUGAACGCAAUGAAGUCAGAAGAUUAGAACAACGACAAUCACGCCGUUUCACAGUCAAUAGACGAAGAACAAAUGACCAACAACGACAACAGGUACAUCGAGCAUUUAUAUCUGAUUCAUUCCUGCGUCUAGCAUUCCAGUAUGAGCCCGAUAUUGAAUAUCAUGCUCAUUCAAAAGUGGUAAUUGGUGC
Molecule: long non-coding RNA, 1006 nt
Organism: Bombyx mori (domestic silkworm)
Lineage: Eukaryota; Metazoa; Arthropoda; Insecta; Lepidoptera; Bombycidae
Exons: 2
Source: RefSeq, a predicted model, not a curated record